RNAcentral lists this ribosomal RNA (867 nucleotides) under Actinobacteridae bacterium TemoinPHRAG6A11. RNAcentral's name for it is "bacterial SSU rRNA". It matches the Rfam family "Bacterial small subunit ribosomal RNA", at positions 38 to 917 of the family's 1533-position model. Lineage: Bacteria; Bacillati; Actinomycetota; Actinomycetes. The record is from RNAcentral.
AGGGCGGCGUGCUACCAUGCAAGUCGACGGUGAAAGAGAGCUUGCUCUCUGGAUCAGUGGCGAACGGGUGAGUAACACGUGAGCAAUCUGCCCCUGACUCUGGGAUAAGCGCUGGAAACGGCGUCUAAUACCGGAUACGAGCUGCGAAGGCAUCUUCAGCAGCUGGAAAGAACUUCGGUCAGGGAUGAGCUCGCGGCCUAUCAGCUAGUUGGUGAGGUAAUGGCUCACCAAGGCGUCGACGGGUAGCCGGCCUGAGAGGGUGACCGGCCACACUGGGACUGAGACACGGCCCAGACUCCUACGGGAGGCAGCAGUGGGGAAUAUUGCACAAUGGGCGCAAGCCUGAUGCAGCAACGCCGCGUGAGGGACGACGGCCUUCGGGUUGUAAACCUCUUUUAGCAGGGAAGAAGCGAAAGUGACGGUACCUGCAGAAAAAGCACCGGCUAACUACGUGCCAGCAGCCGCGGUAAUACGUAGGGUGCAAGCGUUAUCCGGAAUUAUUGGGCGUAAAGAGCUCGUAGGCGGUUUGUCGCGUCUGCUGUGAAAACUGGGGGCUCAACCCCCAGCCUGCAGUGGGUACGGGCAGACUAGAGUGCGGUAGGGGAGAUUGGAAUUCCUGGUGUAGCGGUGGAAUGCGCAGAUAUCAGGAGGAACACCGAUGGCGAAGGCAGAUCUCUGGGCCGUAACUGACGCUGAGGAGCGAAAGGGUGGGGAGCAAACAGGCUUAGAUACCCUGGUAGUCCACCCCGUAAACGUUGGGAACUAGUUGUGGGGUCCAUUCCACGGAUUCCGUGACGCAGCUAACGCAUUAAGUUCCCCGCCUGGGGAGUACGGCCCGCAAGGCUAAAACUCUAGAGAUAUAUGUAC